Long non-coding RNA from Ostrinia nubilalis (European corn borer), 3397 nucleotides. RefSeq lists it as uncharacterized. The transcript has 2 exons. The record is from RefSeq and is a predicted model, not a curated record. Lineage: Eukaryota; Metazoa; Arthropoda; Insecta; Lepidoptera; Crambidae.
CCACUUGUCGGUAUCGUACGCAACGGACGCAUCGUACGAAACACAUCGUAUCGGAUGUGCGAUGCGUACGAUGCGGACAGGUGGACGCACUUAUAUGAGUUUCUAUAUAAAUAAUACUACGAUCCGUUGCAUGCGAUACGUCCGAUGCGUACGAUACCGACAUGUGGACGCUAGCCUUUAAAAGACCUUUUAGCAUAGUCACAAGAACGGGCUAACAAUGUUUGUUUUGUUUGUAAUUGAUCGGAAUUGGAAUCAUCACAAAUCUAUUGUUUCUGAACAUAUUUUACAUUGUUUUUAUAAACACGGAGUUUUGCUAUGGUUCUUACAUUGCCAUAAUGUAAUCAAAAGAUAGUGAAAUAUGUUUUACUCUAAUUUUAAUUUUAUUUAUGUGAUAAAAUAUGAAGUCAAGUGUUUUCAACUUCAUUGAAUUUCAUUGUAGAUGUUGCUAUUGUAAAAAUAUUAUCGAUUGUCUUAUGUGUCAGUGAAGGUCUUAAAUAAUGUGGGUUGAACUCUUAUUAGGUAUAAUUGAAAAAGUAUUGUAUUAUUGAACUGAUUUUUACUAUUAAUUAUCAUAUCAAAGUUGUACAAUAAUAAUGAUUAUUAUUUUCCUACAUUUGAGGGUUGCUACACAAUGGGUAAUAAUGUAACUACGAAUUACCUAGUCCUGUGUCAUCAUUUUAGUAAAUACGAAAAAUUUUAGCCAAUAAAUGUGUCGCUUUUUGUGAAAUGUUUAAAUCACUAAUAAAAGGAGACAAAAUUAUAGUUAAAAUGGUGUCACAAGACUAGUAUUUAUGAAUAAAAUUGUUAAGUCGUCAAACAACCUUUUAUCUACAUUACGCAAAGAAAAAUAAAUUGUAAAACAUUGAUUUGUGAGAUUUUUUAAUUAUGCUACAUCACGAUAGUUCAUUAUUGUAUAAAUUGUCUAUCUAUACUAUACGAUGGUCAACAAAGAUAUUUGUAAUUUAAUCGGUCUGGUAGAACAGAGUAAUUUCAAAAGAAGUCGGAUUUGUGAAUUUAGUGCUAGGAAUAAGUAAGUGUGAUUAAUGUGACCACUGUUACAAACGCAGAUCAAGAGUAAAUUAUACAAUCUUAAUUCUAGUAUACUACUUUGCAAGUAAGGGCCAUCGCCCACGGCGACUUUUACGAAACGCGCGACAGCAUCGCUACUAACGCGCGUUAGUCGCCUUUGCAACGCACUAAAGUCAUGUCAACGCGAACGCGAUACAGCAGCGCGACUGUAUCGCUACAAAAAGUUGCCGUGGGUGAGGGCCCUAAGGCCCGGUUUCCACCGAAAUGGAGAGGAGAGAUGUGCGCUGUGAGCUGUGUGCAAGGCGCAAAUUCUAUAUCUAAGGCAAAUUCUAUAGAAAAAAGUCUGUCAAGUCUGCAAAGUCUGUCUUCUCCGCUCGAUCCGUUUCCAAAGUUGAGCAGAAGGGAGAUGUGGAAAUAACGUAAUCUGAUUGAUUUAAAACACAUCUCGUCGUCUCGUCUUUUCCGCUUUGGUAGAAAUCGGGCUUAAGUAGAUUAUUGAAAAUGAGUCAUCUAUUUUAUUUUCAAAUUAUUAGUCACAAAACUGUGUGGAAUAAGCUAGUGAGAUGUGCUUUAGUAAUGCGAUCGGAUCGUACAAUCAAUUGAAUUUAAUGUUUUUAUUGUGAAUUGUGAAACAUGGUUAUAAAAACUACAAUAUUUUCAACAAGUAAUUGCAAAUUCAUAGAUCUGCAUACAAUAUGUUGUAUUUAUACAAAUAUGUACAUAAAAUGAAAGGCUGAAAGAAUGUAAAAGCAGCAAGAUGUUAGCUAAUGGACCCAAAACCACAAAAGCAAAUGAUACUAUGCAACAGCUUUAGGAGAGUAACCCAAAAUAGUGGCAAGGCAGACUAUAAAAUUGGGACGUGUUUAGGAGAGAGUCCUCAAAGAGUCAAAAAUGUACUUAAUAUAAUUUGGACUCGGCAAUAGUAGGUACUCAUGCCACAGAUUCUCCAGAAAACCAGGCCGUCGGUUGCGGUUGCGAGAUUUUUUCCUUCGUUACAUCUCUUAGCCACACGAUCUCCCAACUUUACUAAGCUGGUGGUAAUUCCAUUGGUGAACUUUGUUAAUUCGAAUGUAAGUUUGGAUGUCAGAGGUGCUACUUACAACUUGAUGCACUCUAUUUUUUUUUCUAACUCGUGUCAUUAUUUUCUUCUUAGCGCACUCAAUUUAAUUUAUAAAUAUUUUUAUUUCGUAAAACACGUUGCGGGAUCGAUGACUUAAUUCCAUUAUUACAUGUAAUUUUUCGAUAUUUUUAGUUGCCUGCUUUUUAGAAAUAAUGGGCCUUUAUUAAAAGUAAGCAAAGUAGUUUUCUUGAAUCCGCCAAAAAAGCACGGAAAUGAUUAUAUCGGAAAAGCAAUAUCUUUAUGUAUUUACUAAUGCAAACUAAAUCGUAACUGACUACAAAAUACAGAUAUUAAUCAGGGGUUUAAAGUAAAUCAUGCUGUUAAAGUAUUCAUAUUUUUGCAUUUCGUUGAAGGCUUGAAGAUGCAUUCUUACAAAUUUUAUUGGUGCGUGUGGAACUUUUAUGAAACUCUUAUAACUCAUUUAUUUUUGCAAAUAGGCUUUUAAAAAGCACUUUUACACAUGCAAAAAAGUUAUGGUAGGUAUUAAAUCAGCUACAUGCGAUGUCUAUGUCACAGAAAACAAACGAAAAUCACCAAAACGAUCAUCAACCUAUCACAAAGUGUACAAUUUUGAUAGCACAUCAGUGAUCAGACACACAUCUGUUGCAAAGUCACCCUAAAUACAACUACUUGGUGCCACAGUGUUUACCUUUACUACACAAUGGACGCACAUCCCGUAAGGGCGAUUCUGCUCCUAAAAUGCAAUAAUUUAAUAGGGCCAACAGAAAAUUCAAAUACCACUUUCCAUAUCACCUUAUAUGCAAAGAUUUGCAUCCAUUGUGUAAGGGCACCUUUAAAAUAGAUGUAUACUGAAAUGGCAUUACUAAAAUAGAAUAAUUAUUUUUUGAUCAAUUUCUAAUAACAUUAGCUUCUCAAAUUAGAUAUGUAUUAUUUUGUGCGUACUGUUGUAUAAUUCAAAUUUAUCUAAGUAGUAUAAUAACACUCAUAAGCAUGAAAAGCAGAAUUUUGCUUUAAAAUUAUAAUUAAAUAAGUUGUAAUACAAAAAACAUCUGAUAUUCGAUGGAUUUAAUUUAAUUGUGAUAUUGUACUUGUGAAGCCCAUACCGGUUUAUUAUUAUUUAAUCAAUUUUAUUUGUAAGUAGUUAUUCUAAGUUUAGUUUGCAUUCGAAAAUUUGCAUUGUAAAAUCUACAAUAAAGAACAAACAUGUAAAAAUAAUUGUGGAAAUAUUCCAUUGUAAUUGUGACCUGUGAAGAAAACUUAGAAAAAAUAAAAAGUAAAACAAAUAAA